This 1255-nucleotide long non-coding RNA is filed under the name Capra hircus (goat). Its description in RNAcentral is "lncRNA (ENSCHIG00010014304.1)". Lineage: Eukaryota; Metazoa; Chordata; Mammalia; Artiodactyla; Bovidae. The record is from RNAcentral.
AGCCAGACCAAUUACAAGAAAGUUCUGAUGACUGUUGUUGGGAUAAUUGCUUAAAGAUUCAGGUAAAGGAGCUAUUAUUUCUCAGAGGAUUCAGUGAGAUAACCUAUAGUAUGAAUUUGCAGAUGAUUGGAUCCAAAGUUCACCAGUUCUUUGAAAGACUAUCUUUCAGAGGUUUUUUUUUUUUCUUUUUUUCCCCAGAGUUUAAAAAUGCAAAAAGGAAUCUUUUACAGCCAUUCCUUCAAAUCCUAAAAUGUCUUUGCAUUUUGUGAAUAGGUAGUUUGUCAUACACAUUCAUUUGCUAGACAGGAGAGCUAGAGCUUUGUUGAAAGCUAAGUUAUUUUGCCAACUGGGUGCCUAACCACACUGCUCUGUGAAACAUUUCUCAAGCAGGGGUUAGUAACUCUAUCCUAACAUGUGUAUCUUGAAAUCUGAGGUGUAGAGGCUUUAAAAGCAGCCACUAACUUACGUCGAGUAGAGGUUACACAUUCAUUUAUUAAUCAUUACUUUUUUAAAUAUGAAAAAUCUUUUUUUUUUUGCAUUUCUUACUCAUUCAAGGAAACUCAUAAAAUAUUCUUACUUGAGGUUUACAAUAAAGCAAACACAAGAGAGUGAAAAACUUCCUAGGAAAUGGUAAUAUGAUUUAUUGAUUAUUCUUAAUUUGAUGUUAAGGGGAAACCAACAAUGUCUCAGAAAGACCAGCACAUCCUCAUGGACACCAACUUUCCCAUCACCCCUCCAGAGUAAUUGUGUCACACCUCCGCCUAGUGUAUGGAAAGAGAACUACCAUGCUUAUGGUGACUACCCCAGGGUUUCAGUCAAGGGGAGCAAAACAAAACUACUGCAUAUCAGGUGUCUUCUUGUCGUUUUUGUUGCUAAGUUCUUUACCGCUGAGCCACUAGGGGAGCCCUUAAGUCUAAUCUUUGUCUCAUCCCUAUUUCAUCUUUACAGGAAAUUGAAUCAAAUGAUAUUUCCCAUUGUUUGACUUCCCUUUAACCAGAUACAAUUUUUAAAACUAUGAGUGAGUGAAGUCGCUCAGUCGUGUCCGUCUCUUUGCGACCCCAUGGACUGUNNNNNNNNNNNNNNNNNNNNCAUGGGAUUCUCCAGGCAAGAAUACUGGAGUGGGUUGCCAUUUCCUCUCUUAAUUUGUAACACAAAUUCUAUUUUUCCUAAAAUUUUUUUUUUCUGUUUUCAAUAUCGUUUUGAAUAAUUUCUUUUUAACUAUUCUUAAAAUAUUGAGCUCAAUUUAAACAAAAAG